This 447-nucleotide ribosomal RNA is filed under the name uncultured bacterium. RNAcentral describes it as "partial 16S ribosomal RNA". It matches the Rfam family "Bacterial small subunit ribosomal RNA", at positions 29 to 523 of the family's 1533-position model. The record is from RNAcentral.
AACGAACGCUGGCGGCAGGCCUAACACAUGCAAGUCGAGCGAACCGCAAGGUUAGCGGCGGACGGGUGAGUAACGCGUGGGAACGUGCCCUUUGCUACGGAAUAGCCCUGGGAAACUGGGAGUAAUACCGUAUGUGCCCUUUGGGGGAAAGAUUUAUCGGCAAAGGAUCGGCCCGCGUUGGAUUAGGUAGUUGGUGGGGUAAUGGCCUACCAAGCCGACGAUCCAUAGCUGGUUUGAGAGGAUGAUCAGCCACACUGGGACUGAGACACGGCCCAGACUCCUACGGGAGGCAGCAGUGGGGAAUCUUAGACAAUGGGGGAAACCCUGAUCUAGCCAUGCCGCGUGAGCGAUGAAGGCCUUAGGGUUGUAAAGCUCUUUCAGUGGGGAAGAUAAUGACGGUACCCACAGAAGAAGCCCCGGCUAACUCCGUGCCAGCAGCCGCCGUAA